Molecule: ribosomal RNA, 402 nt
Filed under: Bacillus sp. (in: firmicutes)
Lineage: Bacteria; Bacillati; Bacillota; Bacilli; Caryophanales; Bacillaceae
Description: bacterial SSU rRNA
Rfam family: Bacterial small subunit ribosomal RNA
Source: RNAcentral
UGCAGUCGAGCGGACAGAUGGGAGCUUGCUCCCUGAUGUUAGCGGCGGACGGGUGAGUAACACGUGGGUAACCUGCCUGUAAGACUGGGAUAACUCCGGGAAACCGGGGCUAAUACCGGAUGGUUGUUUGAACCGCAUGGUUCAAACAUAAAAGGUGGCUUCGGCUACCACUUACAGAUGGACCCGCGGCGCAUUAGCUAUUGGUGAGGUAAUGGCUCACCAAGGCAACGAUGCGUAGCCACCUGAGAGGGUGAUCGGCCACACUGGGACUGAGACACGGCCAGACUCCUACGGGAGGCAGCAGUAGGGAAUCUUCCGCAAUGGACGAAAGUCUGACGGAGCAACGCCGCGUGAGUGAUGAAGGUUUUCGGAUCGUAAAGCUCUGUUGUUAGGGAAGAACAA